This 592-nucleotide ribosomal RNA is filed under the name Arthrobacter sp. SM-31. RNAcentral's name for it is "bacterial SSU rRNA". It matches the Rfam family "Bacterial small subunit ribosomal RNA", at positions 272 to 873 of the family's 1533-position model. Lineage: Bacteria; Bacillati; Actinomycetota; Actinomycetes; Micrococcales; Micrococcaceae. The record is from RNAcentral.
GGCGACGACGGGUAGCCGGCCUGAGAGGGUGACCGGCCACACUGGGACUGAGACACGGCCCAGACUCCUACGGGAGGCAGCAGUGGGGAAUAUUGCACAAUGGGCGCAAGCCUGAUGCAGCGACGCCGCGUGAGGGAUGACGGCCUUCGGGUUGUAAACCUCUUUCAGUAGGGAAGAAGCGUAAGUGACGGUACCUGCAGAAGAAGCGCCGGCUAACUACGUGCCAGCAGCCGCGGUAAUACGUAGGGCGCAAGCGUUAUCCGGAAUUAUUGGGCGUAAAGAGCUCGUAGGCGGUUUGUCGCGUCUGCUGUGAAAGACCGGGGCUCAACUCCGGUUCUGCAGUGGGUACGGGCAGACUAGAGUGCAGUAGGGGAGACUGGAAUUCCUGGUGUAGCGGUGAAAUGCGCAGAUAUCAGGAGGAACACCGAUGGCGAAGGCAGGUCUCUGGGCUGUAACUGACGCUGAGGAGCGAAAGCAUGGGGAGCGAACAGGAUUAGAUACCCUGGUAGUCCAUGCCGUAAACGUUGGGCACUAGGUGUGGGGGACAUUCCACGUUUUCCGCGCCGUAGCUAACGCAUUAAGUGCCCCGCCG